RNAcentral lists this ribosomal RNA (274 nucleotides) under uncultured bacterium. RNAcentral's name for it is "partial small subunit ribosomal RNA". It matches the Rfam family "Bacterial small subunit ribosomal RNA", at positions 26 to 285 of the family's 1533-position model. The record is from RNAcentral.
AGAAUCAACGCUGGCGGCGUGCCUAACACAUGCAAGUCGAACGCGAAAACCCCGCAAGGGGUGAGUAGAGUGGCAAACGGGUGAGUAACGCGUGGGUGACCUGCCUUCGAGCGGGGGAUAACGUUCCGAAAGGGACGCUAAUACCGCAUAACAUCCUGCCUUUGAACAGGUGGAGAUCAAAGCUGGGGCUUCGCAAGAACCCGGCACUUGAAGAGGGGCCCGCGUCUGAUUAGCUAGUUGGUGAGGUAACGGCUCACCAAGGCAACGAUCAGUA